Molecule: ribosomal RNA, 465 nt
Filed under: uncultured bacterium
Lineage: Bacteria
Description: partial 16S ribosomal RNA
Rfam family: Bacterial small subunit ribosomal RNA
Source: RNAcentral
CUACGGGCUGCAGCAGUGGGGAAUAUUGGACAAUGGGGGAAACCCUGAUCUAGCAAUGCCGCGUGUGUGAAGAAGGCCUGCGGGUUGUAAAGCACUUUCGGUUGGGAGGACUGCUUCUAGCACUAAUAUUGUUGGAAGUUGACGUUACCUUCAGAAGAAGCACCGGCUAACUCCGUGCCAGCAGCCGCGGUAAUACGGAGGGUGCAAGCGUUAAUCGGAAUUACUGGGCGUAAAGCGCGCGUAGGCGGCUAGAUCAGUCGGGUGUGAAAGCCCCGGGCUUAACCUGGGAACUGCAUCCGAUACUGUCUAGCUUGAGUACAGGAGAGGAGAGUGGAAUUCCACAUGUAGCGGUGAAAUGCGUAGAUAUGUGGAGGAACACCAAUGGCGAAGGCAGCUCUCUGGCCUGAUACUGACGCUGAGGUGCGAAAGCGUGGGGAUCAAACAGGAUUAGAUACCCCGGUAGUC